AAAUAUAUAACCGGGAGUUCGUUUUCCGUUCUCCGGGAUAUUUGUAUUCAAAUUUCCACUCUUUAUAAAUAUAACAAUUAUAAAACAAAUAAAAAAUGA
Molecule: unclassified non-coding RNA, 99 nt
Filed under: soil metagenome
Description: partial internal transcribed spacer 1
Source: RNAcentral